UACGAAGGGGGCUAGCGUUGUUCGGAUUUACUGGGCGUAAAGCGCACGUAGGCGGAUCUUUAAGUCAGAGGUGAAAUCCCAAGGCUCAACCUUGGAACCGCCUUUGAUACUGGGGAUCUUGAGUCCGGGAGAGGUGAGUGGAACUGCGAGUGUAGAGGUGAAAUUCGUAGAUAUUCGCAAGAACACCAGUGGCGAAGGCGGCUCACUGGCCCGGUACUGACGCUGAGGUGCGAAAGCGUGGGGAGCAAACAGG
Molecule: ribosomal RNA, 253 nt
Filed under: uncultured bacterium
Lineage: Bacteria
Description: partial 16S ribosomal RNA
Rfam family: Bacterial small subunit ribosomal RNA
Source: RNAcentral